UACAUGGGGUGCAAACGUUGCUCGGAAUUAUUGGGCGUAAAGCGCACGUAGGCGGUCCGUUAAGUCGGAUGUGAAAUCCCUCGGCUCAACCGAGGAAGUGCAUCCGAAACUGGCGGGCUUGAGUACGAAAGAGGGUCGCGGAAUUCCCGGUGUAGAGGUGAAAUUCGUAGAUAUCGGGAGGAACACCGGUGGCGAAGGCGGCGACCUGGGUCGAUACUGACGCUGAGGUGCGAAAGCGUGGGGAGCAAACAGG
Molecule: ribosomal RNA, 253 nt
Filed under: uncultured bacterium
Lineage: Bacteria
Also listed under: 1 other name
Description: partial 16S ribosomal RNA
Rfam family: Bacterial small subunit ribosomal RNA
Source: RNAcentral